UACAGGUCUGGAUUAGCGUGUGUUUGAUUGU
Molecule: non-coding RNA, 31 nt
Filed under: Rattus norvegicus (Norway rat)
Lineage: Eukaryota; Metazoa; Chordata; Mammalia; Rodentia; Muridae
Source: RNAcentral